GAAAAGUUGACUAUCUCUAUGUGCAUUACAUGUUUAUGAGUCACAAAUCUUAUAGUAUGUGUGUUUGUCAAAUGCCCAAAAUUGGGUAUGAUACAAUGGAGGCAUUUGCCUAAUCUAUCAUUAACAAAUUGGCAUUAAUUGAACUCUACAAAAACAAAUCUAAAUUCUACAUACCCCCUUUAGGGACAUAAUUUUGUUUACCUCACCACUUCUAUCUGUCUCCUAUUUGGCAAGUUAUCUCAUGUUGCAUUGUAUGUUGGUAUAAAUCCUUUGGCAUGUUGGCUCUCCAUUUCUAGAGUCAUCAGUGAUUUUUGUCGUUGGUACCUAUUCCUCUUUGCAGCUAAUGACAUCAUCUCGUGUGGCAGACCAAAGUCAUAAUCAUUCUGCCUCCUCUUGUAGCAAAUGUACGCCACCAAAAGUACCACGCAAAUAAACACUAGACAUGAUAUUCCAAUUGCAACUUUACCAGCCGUAGAGAGACCAUUUUUACUCCAGAAUAACGGACAAUCAGGCAAAGUAGGUCCGCCACACAACCCUU
Molecule: unclassified non-coding RNA, 538 nt
Filed under: Hevea brasiliensis (rubber tree)
Lineage: Eukaryota; Viridiplantae; Streptophyta; Magnoliopsida; Malpighiales; Euphorbiaceae
Source: RNAcentral